GCUUGUCUCAAAGAUUAAGCCAUGCAUGUCUUAGUGUAAAUAACUCUUAUGAAACUGCGAAUGGCUCAUUAAAUCAGUUAUCAAAUACGUGAUGGUCGCCUACUACAUGGAUAACCGUAGUAAUUCUAGAGCUAAUACAUGCACAAAGGCCCACUCACGUGGGUUGUGAUUAUUAGAUUCAAACCGGCCUCGUGCUUUUGGUGAGUCAUGAUAACUGCGCGGAUCGCAUGGCCUUGCGCCGGCGACGCUUCAUUCAAAUUUCUGCCCUAUCAACUUUCGAUGGUAAGAUAGAGGCUUACCAUGGUGUUAACGGGUAACGGGGAAUUGGGGUUCGAUUCCGGAGAGGGAGCCUGAGAAAUGGCUACCACUUCCAAGGAAGGCAGCAGG
RNAcentral lists this ribosomal RNA (387 nucleotides) under uncultured Cryptomonas. RNAcentral describes it as "partial small subunit ribosomal RNA". It matches the Rfam family "Eukaryotic small subunit ribosomal RNA", at positions 30 to 432 of the family's 1831-position model. Lineage: Eukaryota; Cryptophyceae; Cryptomonadales; Cryptomonadaceae. The record is from RNAcentral.